AUCACAAGUAGUGAUGAUUCUAAUGCUAAAGAUGUCGGAAAUUCUCCUGGUGUUGAAAAUACAGAACAAGAAUUGGUGUUGCAAGAGUGGAAAUACAUUGAUGAGUCAACGAAACAUAGAGAAUUGUUUUUAAAAUUGAUUGAAUAUGGACGCAAUUCCAGUGUUGAGGUUAAAGUGGUGGGCAAUGUACGAGUAAUUUUCUCAGAAGAGUUUUGCAUUGGUAAAGGAAGUGAUGGAACACGUGUUUAUCUUGGACUG
Xenia sp. Carnegie-2017 is the source of this 258-nucleotide long non-coding RNA. RefSeq lists it as uncharacterized. The record is from RefSeq and is a predicted model, not a curated record. The transcript has 2 exons. Lineage: Eukaryota; Metazoa; Cnidaria; Anthozoa; Malacalcyonacea; Xeniidae.